AUUGAACGCUGGCGGCAGGCCUAACACAUGCAAGUCGAACGGUAACAGGAAGCAGCUUGCUGCUUCGCUGACGAGUGGCGGACGGGUGAGUAAUGUCUGGGAAGCUGCCUGAUGGAGGGGGAUAACUACUGGAAACGGUAGCUAAUACCGCAUAAUGUCGCAGGACCAAAGAGGGGGACCUUCGGGCCUCUUGCCAUCGGAUGUGCCCAGAUGGGAUUAGCUUGUUGGUGGGGUAACGGCUCACCAAGGCGACGAUCCCUAGCUGGUCUGAGAGGAUGACCAGCCACACUGGAACUGAGGCACGGUCCAGACUCCUACGGGAGGCAGCAGUGGGGAAUAUUGCACAAUGGGCGCAAGCCUGAUGCAGCCAUGCCGCGUGUAUGAAGAAGGCCUUCGGGUUGUAAAGUACUUUCAGCGGGGAGGAAGGGAGUAAAGUUAAUACCUUGGCUCAUUGACGUUACCCGCAGAAGAAGCACCGGCUAACUCCGUG
This 490-nucleotide ribosomal RNA is filed under the name uncultured bacterium. RNAcentral describes it as "partial 16S ribosomal RNA". It matches the Rfam family "Bacterial small subunit ribosomal RNA", at positions 30 to 507 of the family's 1533-position model. The record is from RNAcentral.